GGUUGGCUAGCUCAGUUGGUUAGAGCGUCGAGCUAAUACAAUUGAUUACGUAACUCGAAGGUCAUGGGUUCGACCCCCCUGCUGACCA
Transfer RNA from Rhizoctonia solani 123E, 88 nucleotides. It matches the Rfam family "tRNA". Rfam says of the family: Transfer RNA (tRNA) molecules are approximately 80 nucleotides in length. NCBI's taxonomy places the organism in Eukaryota, Fungi, Basidiomycota, Agaricomycetes, Cantharellales, Ceratobasidiaceae. The record is from Rfam.